CUGCAGGAGAAAAGAUUGUUAUUAAAGCUGUUGGAUUUUUCUCACCAAAAAAAUCAUUUUGGGAGGUGGGCGGGAAGCAAAGGAUGUGUGUUCUCAUUUAAGAAUUCCUCAGAUAUUUUCUUUAUCUUAACUCUUCAUGUGCCUGCUGCUGUGCAGCAGUUACGUGGACAGUUAGGACUAUUGCCAUUCGUAUAACAGGCAAAAUUGUAGGUCAUUUGUCCCAGAGCUAACUUCUCCUGAUACUUGUAGUGGACGUGGGUUUUAAUUUGAUUGAAUUUAAUCCCUGACUUUUUCUCCUGUUCAAAUAAGUGGGCCAAAAGUAGCUGCUGCAGCAGAUGAAAGAUCCCAUUGGACUAAUGAGAUGACUUGCAUGUGUUGGUGUUUGCAACAUCUGGGCUGCAAACUCCAGAUUCUCCAGCCUUGCCUUCUUGGAUAUCGUGUGAGCCACGGCACAGGCAAAGAUGGAGCUUGCUGUUGGAAAGGAGGAUCCUGUGGCGCUGGACUUGGUGACAUUGGGUGGCUCUCCCAUGACCCUGUUUUUGUGGAGUGGUUUAUUCUCCAAGCAUGGCAGAAGCAUCCAGCAGUGCUGGCGGAUGAGGAGCUAUGAAGGAGCCUUCAAACUUUUCACCCUGGGCUUUCGGUCAGGCCGGCUGCCUCCGGAUUUAAGGGCUUUUAGUUAAACAGAUUUGCAGCUUUUUCUAGUUUGUUUGCAUCAUGAGGACCUAGGAAGAGCUCAGUUCCUGUUUCCAGCUAUGAGGUAUGGCUAAAGGGUCAUCAGGGAAAGGAAAAGCUUUGUCCUGGCCAAGAUGUUUGGAGGAGAACAAGUCCCUUGCUCAUAAGCAGAGACUGGAGACUCGCUUCUAAGCGCUUGAAAUCUGCCAGAUACUCAAAACUGCCUUGGUUUUCUGGCAGAGGGAGAAGAGGAAAGGCUUUUCAUCCUCCUUAUCUUUGGGCCCAGGAGCUCUUGUGGCUGAGCUGUGUAAUCUUCUUCAAAACAAGAGAUUGCUGAGACUUCUCCCUAUGUUUCAGUGCCUCUGCUUGGUGGGACUGCUGCUGAGCUUGUCCUUGCUUUACCUUCCUCUCCCUGUCUCCCCUCUAGUCCCUCUGUUCCAAGUUCAGUGUUCCAAUGCCCUGUUGGGGGUAAAAUCCACGGUAAUGCAGUCGUUACUUUUCUGCUGUGGUCAGGGUUAAAAUUUGCACGUGGGGUUUAGCCUCUUUUUUUCCACGCAGCUGUCAAACUGCUAGUUGGGUUUUGCAAAUUCACGAGCAAAAUAUUGCCUGUGUAUAAAGAUAAGUUUCUGAAAUGCAUUUUGGUUUUUUUUUCACUUGGACAGAAAAACCAUCCUUGGAUGCAUAUGGGUAGGAGAGUAAACCAGGAGCAUGUUUUAUCACUAGAUGUCUGCGCACAGGAAGGACCAGAGCCAUGAACCCACCGCAGAAAACAGCGAAGGCCACCACGUAGGUCAUGAGUAAUGGGAAGGUGGUGGCCAGAGGACAGAGCAGGUUAGUGAUGCCGCCGAGGACAAGGUAAGCCACGUGGUAGUGAUACUUCUUGGUCCAGUUCUGGUCAGCAACCCAGCCUGAGAGCAGCUGGCUGACUGUCUCUGUGAUGCCUGGGGGGAAGAGGAGUUCACCAAAGCCUCAAAGAAGACUUUUUUUUUUUUUUUUGCUAUUCUGCACUGUGUUGCUCUGAAACGCAUCCCAAUUCCACCUGCCACUCACUGUAAGAACGUGACCACAAAGGGCUGAAAUGCCGGGAAGUUACAGGAAGGCAUUUUUAGGCUGCUGUAAAAUUCAUGCUUUUUUUUUUUCUUUACGUUGGUGCCUGCUACUGCCAAGUGCCUGUGGGUGCACCAAAGUGGUCUGUAAAAAUUCAAUUAAGGGCUGUGCACUCAGCAGAAAACUCUGAAAUGCCCUUCAGUAAAAACAGGAAAGAUAAGCUUGCCGUUUGAUCUCUUUUUCAAGAUAGAGAAAAAGCAGAAUAUUAAGAAGAAAUAUGCUUAUGAGAUUUUAAUUUUUAUAAAGAAGCAAAGAAGGACAGAAGCCCAGCCUUAUUUUAAAGGCUUAGCAAACUUUUGGUACUUGCUUUUUACAUUUCUCGAUAUGUUUUUAUGAACUAAAGAUCAGAAGAGUGCUCACUGUCAGCUCAUAUCUUGCUGACCACUGUGUCCCUCCUACUCUUAAUUCAAAAUGUCAGAUUAAUUGCUGCACUCUCCUUCUAGAUGCUUUGACAGCAUACAUAAUUUCUAAAUAUUAUACAGCAGUGUAGAAGUAAAAUUUAUUUUUAUACAAUAAAAUAUUUUAUGAUGACUGA
Long non-coding RNA from Aquila chrysaetos chrysaetos, 2314 nucleotides. RefSeq lists it as uncharacterized. The transcript is spliced from 5 exons. The record is from RefSeq and is a predicted model, not a curated record. NCBI's taxonomy places the organism in Eukaryota, Metazoa, Chordata, Aves, Accipitriformes, Accipitridae.